GGCACUAUAGCCAAGUGGUUAAGGCGAUAGAUUCGAAUCAACUCAAUCUAUUACUCUCUGAGUGCGCAGGUUCAAAUCCUGCUGGUGUCG
This 90-nucleotide transfer RNA is filed under the name Desarmillaria tabescens. Its description in RNAcentral is "Armillaria tabescens (ringless honey mushroom) tRNA". It matches the Rfam family "tRNA". From Rfam's summary of the family: Transfer RNA (tRNA) molecules are approximately 80 nucleotides in length. The record is from Rfam by way of RNAcentral. Lineage: Eukaryota; Fungi; Basidiomycota; Agaricomycetes; Agaricales; Physalacriaceae.